GAAAAAGCGAAGAUAGGGAAGAGUACGGCGUAACCCGCCUUGCAGAGAGGGAAAUCAAUAGCUGCGAGAUUUCCUAGGUUUGUGGUCGUCGGAAGGUCGCCCCGGAGCUGCUUCUUUGAACGAUAGUAGAAGAAGCCGGCACGUCGCCGUUAUCGAUUUGAGUGCUUAAGCAUCGCUUAAGAAAAAGGUGGUACCGCGAAAGAGUCUCCUUUCGUCCUUUUC
Molecule: non-coding RNA, 222 nt
Filed under: Anoxybacillus flavithermus
Lineage: Bacteria; Bacillati; Bacillota; Bacilli; Caryophanales; Anoxybacillaceae
Description: T-box sequence
Rfam family: T-box leader
About the family: Uncharged tRNA acts as the effector for transcription antitermination of genes in the T-box leader family. T-boxes are found upstream of many aminoacyl-tRNA synthetase genes and some amino acid biosynthetic genes usually in Gram-positive bacteria.
Source: RNAcentral